GACGAACGCUGGCGGCGUGCUUCAUACAUGCAAGUCGAACGAGAAGUUACCUUCGGGUGAUGGAAAGUGGCGGACGGGUGAGUAAUAUGUAGGAAAUCUGCCCUUAAGAGGGGGACAACAGAGGGAAACUUCUGCUAAUACCCCAUAUGAGCGUAGCUGAAAUGCUAUUCUUGAAAACUCCGGUGCUUAAGGAUGAGCCUGCAUCUGAUUAGCUAGUUGGCGGGGUAACGGCCCACCAAGGCGACGAUCAGUAGCCGACCUGAGAGGGUGACCGGCCACAUUGGGACUGAGACACGGCCCAAACUCCUACGGGAGGCAGCAGUGGGGAAUAUUGCACAAUGGGCGAAAGCCUGAUGCAGCGACGCCGCGUGAACGAGAAGAUUCGGUAUGUAAAGUUCUAUCAGCAGGGAAGAUAAUGACGGUACCUGACUAAGAAGCACCGGCUAAAUACGUG
This 454-nucleotide ribosomal RNA is filed under the name uncultured bacterium. RNAcentral's name for it is "bacterial SSU rRNA". It matches the Rfam family "Bacterial small subunit ribosomal RNA", at positions 28 to 507 of the family's 1533-position model. The record is from RNAcentral.